UCAUCUAACUUUCAGCCAGAAAGUGAAUAAUCUGAUUAAAGAAUAAGGAAACUGAGUGAAUCUGACCAUCCAAAGUCCACAACGGGGAAGAGGAUGACUCCUUUCUGUAUGUCAGUAGUUUAGAAAACACACACACAUAAUUAGAUAGUUUGCUGUCACCUCAAGCCAAACUAGCAGCAGGUGCUCUUUAAUGACAGGCGACAGCUGUACACACGCACACACACACACACGCACACACACACAGUGGCCCUGUAGUGGUGUGCAAACAUGACAGCUAGUUGUCAUCGUCCCCUCCCUCCCAGAGCUUUUGAGUAAGACGCACAAGAGAAAUGACGGCAGUGGGAGCCGUGAUCGAGCUUAGAUCUGAGUAGGUUCUGUCAUUCUGAGGACUGAGCUGAUGUGGAGCCAAAGAAAAGCACACUGGAAGAGGCCAAGAGCGCGAUUGCAGCUAGAAAUGUGUGGGAAUCAACUGUUUAUCUCGGUGGUCGGCAGAGGCUUAAAUAUCUGUUUGUAUGGAGAAUUAGAGGAAUCAAGUGUUUGUGUGCUUUUGUUCGUACAUUCUCCUGGAAGACAAAGCAGGACAGCAGGGCGGUGGCUUGUUCAACCGUCAGAUCAUUGAAGAGGCCGUUGAAAAUCAUCUCCGUCAGCAGGAGCUCGUCGCCACUGGAAGCAUGAAUGGCAACCCGACCUUUCACCUCGAUGACAUCAGAGGGACUGGCGAAGCCGAGGCGUCGCAGAACUCUCUUCCUGCACUUCAGCUUGUCCAUCUGCAGGACGGUCCGAGCUUUCUUCAGCUCUCGCUUGGCCGUUCG
This is a long non-coding RNA of Morone saxatilis (striped sea-bass), 812 nucleotides long. RefSeq lists it as uncharacterized. Lineage: Eukaryota; Metazoa; Chordata; Actinopteri; Moronidae. The record is from RefSeq and is a predicted model, not a curated record. The transcript has 3 exons.